Molecule: long non-coding RNA, 518 nt
Organism: Rhipicephalus microplus (southern cattle tick)
Lineage: Eukaryota; Metazoa; Arthropoda; Arachnida; Ixodida; Ixodidae
Source: RefSeq, a predicted model, not a curated record
AAAUUUUUGUCAGAAUCGUUAAACAUGUCAUAUUCAUACGGCACCCUUAAAAUGCGUUUCCAGGGGACUGUUUGAAAUCAUUUGGGGUUCAUUGCAGGAGCAGCUUGAACUUACACUGAACUGGCGCACAUUAGCAUAAGAUCUAAAUGGCAUAUUUUGGCUGGGGGAGAACUCUUUGCCACUAAUUGUGGUUUGCAGCUGUUUGGUGUGCUGUGAAGUAUAGCUUUAUGUUUUGCUUUUAAAUGGACACUGGCGUGGCUGUGGAUUCAAGGGAGCUGCAGAGAGGCAUGGUCACAACUGUCACCACCAGUGGUUGUGGACAGUAGCUCCAGUUUCCGAAGCCACAACUUCUAGGCUAAACCUGGAUGCAGCUGAAAUGCAAAGGAAUUGUUCACAAGCGCCUGCGGAGAACCACUCAUUGGUAGAAGCUGUUGCUAGCGAAGUGCAUCAAGACGGUGCUGAUGGCACGCACGACAGCACGCACAACAAUGGGGCAGAAUUCGCCGCUACUCCUGAGG